GAUAGAUUCAAUAAAAUAUAUUAAAGGGGAUAUCACCACAGAUUCCACAGAAAUUCAAACCAUCAUCAGAGAUCAAUACAAACAGCUCUAUGUACAUAGGCUA
Molecule: long non-coding RNA, 103 nt
Organism: Sapajus apella (tufted capuchin)
Lineage: Eukaryota; Metazoa; Chordata; Mammalia; Primates; Cebidae
Exons: 3
Source: RefSeq, a predicted model, not a curated record